GACGAACGCUGGCGGCGUGCUUAACACAUGCAAGUCGAACGGAAAGGCCCUGCUUUUGUGGGGUGCUCGAGUGGCGAACGGGUGAGUAACACGUGAGUAACCUGCCCUUGACUUUGGGAUAACUUCAGGAAACUGGGGCUAAUACCGGAUAGGAGCUCCUGCUGCAUGGUGGGGGUUGGAAAGUUUCGGCGGUUGGGGAUGGACUCGCGGCUUAUCAGCUUGUUGGUGGGGUAGUGGCUUACCAAGGCUUUGACGGGUAGCCGGCCUGAGGGUGACCGGCCACAUUGGGACUGAGAUACGGCCCAGACUCCUACGGGAGGCAGCAGUGGGGAAUAUUGCACAAUGGGCGGAAGCCUGAUGCAGCAACGCCGCGUGCGGGAUGACGGCCUUCGGGUUGUAAACCGCUUUCGCCUGUGACGAAGCGUGAGUGACGGUAAUGGGUAAAGAAGCACCGGCUAACUACGU
Molecule: ribosomal RNA, 465 nt
Filed under: uncultured bacterium
Lineage: Bacteria
Description: partial 16S ribosomal RNA
Rfam family: Bacterial small subunit ribosomal RNA
Source: RNAcentral